RNAcentral lists this long non-coding RNA (1023 nucleotides) under Oryctolagus cuniculus (rabbit). RNAcentral describes it as "lncRNA (ENSOCUG00000032387.1)". Lineage: Eukaryota; Metazoa; Chordata; Mammalia; Lagomorpha; Leporidae. The record is from RNAcentral.
GCUGGAUUUAUGUUAGAAGGUGCAUGAGAGAAAUUCCAUCUGAGUUGCAAUUUUGUAUUAGCCUUAGGUAUAGGAAACUUUAUUCCCUUUUGCUAUUACUUUUAAAGAAGGGAUAAAUUUUACUCCCAAACCUGCACAAACUUAAUUGUGAGAAGAAAAGGAGUUGGUUUAUUUUCUAACCUAGCCUUAAAGUCAAAGUGACACAAUGACCUGGUUCUGCUUUUUAAAAAGUUGCAUGUAAAACCACCACUUUUCAUUUUGUGAAUCCACUUUGUAAAUGGGCUUUGCAUUUUACCCUUUCACAUUUUAGAGUUCUUCUCCAAAUUCCAGAAGCACAAUUAUGAGCAGAUUGAACAUGAAAAGGGUCACAUUUUCCUUCUGUAGAGUAUGCAAGCACCCUGCCGGUGAUGACAGUAUGCUGUCUGGAGAUGCAAGUACGGACAAUUUUUGAAGAUCUAUGUUAUGAAUGUAUGGUGAUAUUACCACCUACUUUAAACAGUUCUAUGAGAAAACCAUGGGAGAAUGCUGUAAGUACUUUAGAAGAAAUACGAAAUGACAAUAACAGCCCAAACCAGACAGCUCCUCUUUUACAGCCUACCAAUUCUCAGGUCCUAGUGCUGAAAUAAUAGUUUUACAUCCUGGGAGCAUAUUGGAAUCACCUGAGGAGCAUUUGCAAGCCUUGUAUAUCCUCAAACAGAGAAGUGAGAAUCGCUGACACUGAAACACAGGUAACCCUAUUUUUAUAUCUUUGCAGGUGGAUUCUACGUUCACCUAGGUUUGAUGUUCACCUAAUUAAAACGUACUUCAGUGUGAGGCAGGAUGCUGUAAAUAUUGAGCUUACAGGAGAUAUCACCUUCUGCUGCCCUGAAGAUGUGUCACUGAUUAUGAAAUACACCUGCACACAGAACACACACAAAGACUCCUUUAUAAGGUGGAAUUUCACUUUCCAGCCAUCUUCACCUCAGAUGUUGAAGCUUUGUAUUGCCUUAGUUUCUAGGCGCUGUCUCCUUUUAUCUGUCCCAG